GCCGGGGUAGCUCAGCCCGGUUAGAGCGCCAGCCUCCACAUCUGGAGGCCGCGGGUUCAAAACCCGCCCCCGGCA
RNAcentral lists this transfer RNA (75 nucleotides) under Nitrososphaerales archaeon. RNAcentral describes it as "tRNA-Trp". It matches the Rfam family "tRNA". Rfam says of the family: Transfer RNA (tRNA) molecules are approximately 80 nucleotides in length. Their secondary structure includes four short double-helical elements and three loops (D, anti-codon, and T loops). Lineage: Archaea; Thermoproteati; Nitrososphaerota; Nitrososphaeria; Nitrososphaerales. The record is from RNAcentral.